GACGAACGCUGGCGGCAGGCCUAACACAUGCAAGUCGAACGAGAACGGCACUUCGGUGCUUAUUAGAGUGGCGCACGGGUGAGUAACGCGUGGGAACGUACCCUGAAGUACGGAAUAGCCUCGGGAAACUGGGAUUAAUACCGUAUAAUAUCUCCGGAUCAAAGAUUUAUCGCUUCAGGAUCGGCCCGCGUUAGAUUAGGUAGUUGGUGGGGUAAUGGCCUACCAAGCCUACGAUCUAUAGCUGGUCUGAGAGGAUGAUCAGCCACACUGGAACUGAGACACGGUCCAGACUCCUACGGGAGGCAGCAGUGGGGAAUAUUGGACAAUGGGGGAAACCCUGAUCCAGCCAUGCCGCGUGAGUGAUGAAGGCCCUAGGGUUGUAAAGCUCUUUCAACGGUGAAGAUGAUGACGGUAACCGUAGAAGAAGCCCCGGCUAACUUCG
This 442-nucleotide ribosomal RNA is filed under the name uncultured Alphaproteobacteria bacterium. RNAcentral describes it as "bacterial SSU rRNA". It matches the Rfam family "Bacterial small subunit ribosomal RNA", at positions 28 to 505 of the family's 1533-position model. The record is from RNAcentral. Lineage: Bacteria; Pseudomonadati; Pseudomonadota; Alphaproteobacteria.